ACCGAUGCUGGAAGGGUUUCUUUGGCCCUGAGUGAAGAGAGACCCAGAGGGAACACUGAGGUGCCUGCCCAACCACUCUGUCCCGGUUUCCUUCAGCAGGACCAGGUGGAUCUGUUUCUAGAGCUCCAACCACCAGCUCCCUCCCCUUCUCCACCCCGGGCCACCAGGUCCUUCCUUGUCUCCUUCCCCUCAGCAGUUUCUAUGAACCACCCUGGCAGUAAUGGUGCAGAUGGCUCGCGCACAGCUGGUGGUGACCCGACUUUCCUGCCUCCACCCUGGGGCUCCUCAGAGGCUUCAUGGAACCCAAACUGCUGGUCUCACCUCCGAGCCCUGCCGUCGCCCAGGGAGGGCGGCUCCGUCCCUCCUGCACUCCCUAAUCCCGCUCUGAAUCACCGCUUCUGUUCUGGGUCGGAGAAUAAAGGUGGGGUUUCC
Molecule: long non-coding RNA, 432 nt
Filed under: Homo sapiens (human)
Lineage: Eukaryota; Metazoa; Chordata; Mammalia; Primates; Hominidae
Description: HSALNT0261183
Source: RNAcentral